Molecule: ribosomal RNA, 480 nt
Filed under: uncultured bacterium
Lineage: Bacteria
Description: partial 16S ribosomal RNA
Rfam family: Bacterial small subunit ribosomal RNA
Source: RNAcentral
ACUCAAAUGAAUUGACGGGGACCCGCACAAGCAGCGGAGCGUGUGGUUUAAUUCGAUGCGACGCGAAUAACCUUACCAAGGCUUGACAUGUAUUCGCAACACUCUGAAAGGAGUGCCUCCGCAAGGACGGAUACACAGAUGCUGCAUGGCUGUCGUCAGCUCGUGUCGUGAGAUGUUGGGUUAAGUCCCGCAACGAGCGCAACCCUUGUCCUUAGUUGCAUAUCUAGGGAGACCGCCGGAAACAAACCGGAGGAAGGUGGGGAUGAGGUCAAGUCCGCAUGGCUCUUACGCCUUGGGCUACACACACGCUACAAUGGCCGGUACAACGAGAAGCCACCUCGCAAGGGGGAGCAGACCUACAAAAUCGGCCCCAGUUCAGAUUGCACUCUGAAACUCGAGUGCAUGAAGUCGGAGUUGCUAGUAACCGCGUGUCAGCAUAGCGCGGUGAAUAUGUUCCCGGGUCUUGUACACACCGCCCGU